GGAUUAAACACCCUAAGAGUAGACCACCUAAGAAAGUCAGGACAAUGGAUGAGCUAUUUCCUCCUACACCAAAACUAGCUAACUUCAGCCAUGCAAUGGAUAGUUUCUGAUGAACCCCCUGCUCCAAAAGUGGAUGUUCCAUGUGUAGAGUAUCUCCUGUUAACAGAAGGUUACACAAGUGCGACCAAUAAAGUGCAGUGGCUUAAGACAAACCUGAGUGUAUCAAAGCAGCAGAUAGAACAAGUGGCACAAAUUACAUCUGGUCAACGAACAAAUCAUCUCUGGGCUUUGGUUAAAAAAAAUCGAUUAACUGCAUAAAAUUUUGGUGUAGUACUGUCUGCGAUAAGAAGACAGAGAUUCCCACCAUCAUUAUAUAAGCAAAUCUUUGCCUCAUACAAUCUGUCGACAAAGGAUGCCAUAUUGUGGGGCAUCAGCAAUGAGUCUACUGCUAGGACAAAAUCUGUUCAUUUGGAGAUGCUAUUGUAGAGGAAACUUGUGUAUGGCUACAUGAGAGUGGCAUAUUAGGAGCCAGCCCCUAUGGAAUUAUUCGUCGUGCAGCCACACACAAUUACAACUACCAAGAUGUAGAAUUAACAGACCUACUUGAGUGCAUGGCUGUAAAACCAGAAGUUUUGGAGGUAAAAUGCCCAUUCAGUGCAAGGAACAUGACAAUUCCCGAGGCCAUAGAAUCAGUCAAAGACUUUUGCUUGUGUUACCAAAUAUAUGAAGGAAGGAAGUUCUACAAACUAAAGGAGGACCACAGAUAUUAUGACCAGGUGCAGGGACAGCUGCACAUACUUAACAGGUCAUCGUGUGACUUUGUAGUGUGGACUACUAAAGAUAUAGCUAUCGUGAGAAUUCUUCAAGACAGCACCUGGACCCUAAAUAUGUCAAAACUCAUCGAUUUUUACUU
Long non-coding RNA from Saccostrea echinata, 913 nucleotides. RefSeq lists it as uncharacterized. The transcript has 6 exons. The record is from RefSeq and is a predicted model, not a curated record. NCBI's taxonomy places the organism in Eukaryota, Metazoa, Mollusca, Bivalvia, Ostreida, Ostreidae.